This 253-nucleotide ribosomal RNA is filed under the name uncultured bacterium. Its description in RNAcentral is "partial 16S ribosomal RNA". It matches the Rfam family "Bacterial small subunit ribosomal RNA", at positions 524 to 776 of the family's 1533-position model. The record is from RNAcentral.
GACGAACCAUGCAAACGUUAUUCGGAAUCACUGGGCUUAAAGGGUGCGUAGGCGGUGCGGUAAGUUGGAUGUGAAAUCCCUCAGCUUAACUGAGGAACUGCGUUCAAAACUACCGUGCUAGAGGGAGAUAGAGGUGAGCGGAACUUAGGGUGGAGCGGUGAAAUGCGUUGAUAUCCUAAGGAACACCGGUGGCGAAAGCGGCUCACUGGAUCUUUUCUGACGCUGAGGCACGAAAGCUAGGGGAGCAAACGGG